This 425-nucleotide ribosomal RNA is filed under the name uncultured bacterium. RNAcentral's name for it is "bacterial SSU rRNA". It matches the Rfam family "Bacterial small subunit ribosomal RNA", at positions 356 to 773 of the family's 1533-position model. The record is from RNAcentral.
GGGGAAUCUUCCGCAAUGGGCGCAAGCCUGACGGAGCAACGCCGCGUGAGUGAAGAAGGGUUUCGACUCGUAAAGCUCUGUUGUCGGGGACGAAUGUGGAGGUUGUGAAUAACAGCUUCCAAUGACGGUACCUGACGAGGAAGCCACGGCUAACUACGUGCCAGCAGCCGCGGUAAUACGUAGGUGGCGAGCGUUGUCCGGAAUUAUUGGGCGUAAAGGGAGCGCAGGCGGGAGGUCAAGUCUAUCUUAAAAGUGCGGGGCUCAACCCCGUGAGGGGAUGGAAACUGGUCUUCUUGAGUGCAGGAGAGGAAAGCGGAAUUCCUAGUGUAGCGGUGAAAUGCGUAGAUAUUAGGAGGAACACCAGUGGCGAAGGCGGCUUUCUGGACUGUAACUGACGCUGAGGCUCGAAAGCGUGGGGAGCGAAC